GACGAACGCUGGCGGCGUGCCUAAUACAUGCAAGUCGAACGCAGUGGGGACGGGUGAGUAACACGUGGGUAACCUCCCAUCAGAGGGGAUAACACUUGGAAACAGGUGCUAAACCGAUACUGAUGGAUGGCCCCGCGGGCCAUUAGCUAGUUGGGGAGGUAACGGCGCACCAAGGCCACGACGCAUAGCCGACCUGAGAGGGUGAUCGGCCACACGGAGACUGAAAACCGGCCAAGACUACGACGGGAGGCAUGAGGAGGGAAGCGUCGGAAAGGGAGGAAAGUCAGACCGGGAACCGCCGCGGGAGUGAAGAAGGUUUUCGGAUCGUAAAACUCGGGUGUUAGAGAAGCGGUAUCUAACCAGAAAGCCACGGCUAACUACGUGCCAGCCGCCGCGGUAAUUG
RNAcentral lists this ribosomal RNA (403 nucleotides) under uncultured bacterium. RNAcentral's name for it is "partial 16S ribosomal RNA". It matches the Rfam family "Bacterial small subunit ribosomal RNA", at positions 28 to 527 of the family's 1533-position model. The record is from RNAcentral.